UCUAAGUAUUGAAACUAUGAGAUUUCAUUUAAUUACAAGAGCAUGAACUACUAGAUUUUUAUUUCAACCUCAAUUAUGUACUUUCGUGAGUAUAUACAUAUACAUAUACAUGUUAAACUGUGAUUUAUGAAAAGAAUGAGGUUGUGAAUAGUUGUCUUAUCCAAAUAUGCAUGUGAAAGGGUUUUAAUGACGUUAUUUAUAUGGGUGUUGCUCUUAUUUUAUUUAUGGUGGUUGCUUGAAUAUGAUUGAAAAGGGGUAAGUCUCCUCCUAAAGCUUUUACAGAAUUUAUCAUUUAGAAAUGUUUACCUAAACCACUAUGUUUACUAAAGGAGUCUUGCUUUGUGACAUUUUGGAGCAUCUUAUGAUGGUAAACGAUUCAUGUCAUGUAAGUGGUAAAAAUAGAACAUGUUACAUGGCUAAUACAACUUACAAGUCUUGGUAUAGAGAUACUAAAUCAGAUAAAUGCCAUGAAAGACUACAGAUUAUUUCAGACUACAGACCCUUUUUAGACUUCAGACCAUGUUUUAAGAAAGAUGCAUAUUUUUAAAAGGCUAAAAAAUAGGUUUAAAGAGAGUUGUGUGGAUAACCGAGAAGGCACGAGCUCAGAUAACUCAUAGUCCAAAAUCGUCUUUACCGAUGCGGAAUUGAUCUUGUUCUGGUAUAUGGAUGAUCAUUGUAUACUUGUUAAAUGCUUUUAUAUAUCAGACCAGACACUCUAAUCUUUGUGGCAAACUCAAAUUGGGGACUUGACCGAUGAGUCAAUGUAGAACCCUACAUAGCCCAUGGGGUUUUUCAGGCCAUGUUGGGUAUGUCAUUUAACUCAAAACUAAAGCAAAGAGUGAGUCUUUAUUUUACGAGAUUGAUUGAAGUUUUCUUUUUAUGCUCAUGUGUUUUGAUCUCUAUUAUGUUAAAUUGUUUAAACAAUGCUUUUGAUUAUUCUAUAUGAAAUAUAUGUUAUUUUUUGGAUUGUUCUGUGAACCAGUACAUUCCAAGUAUUGACCAUUCUCGGGAGACUACAUUGUCUCAUAAUGUAGAUUCUAAGGCUCAGUCCCGUGGUCCAUCAUAGCAGUAGAACCUUUGAAAACAUAAAAGUUGGUGAGUCAUUCAUCUUUUGAAAGGUAUUUUAUUUAUAUGUUCAUUUCUUUCAGUUUAUGGUCCAGUCGGGGGCCUUGUCCCGGUCUAGACAAUUUAGAGUUGAUUAGAGGCUUCGUAAACUGGAUAUUGAUAGAUGCAUUUUAUGUUGUUUUAUUGAGUGUCUAGGAUUUCUAUCUCAUUUAGAUUAAAGGACUUUCUUUGAUUUUCAUUAUACUUUCACAUUUCAGUUUAUAUUAUGCUUAUGGUAGUAUGCCAAGGGGUAUUCUUGGGUCUUCGCGCUUUGGGAUGCCCAUCGCAGCUAGGGCCUCAGCGUGGGUCAUGAUAGAUUGAUUCUUAUCCAACAUCCCCCCUCAAAUUGAAGGGUAAUGAAGAAAUCCCCAAUUUGUUCAAUAUUUCUAUGUGAAUCUCAUGAAAGGGUUUUAGUGAAAAGAUCGACCUAUUAAUGACUGGAUGGUAAAAAUGAGAGUAAAAUGAGACCAGCUUGGGGUGUUGACAAACAAAAUGAUAGUAAAGAUCCAAAUGCCUAGUUCUUUCAUGAAAAAUAAAGUUUCGAGCAAUGUGUAUGACAACUUGACUAUUUGAGUGAACUAGAACCGGUAGUGAUAGAGAAUUGAGAGAUCUGCACGAAGAUGAACUAGGUAAGUUAGUUUUGCAUUCACGUUCCUCAUGGAUCAAUGUUCCUCCUCUGUAGAUGAAAGGGAAAUCGAGGCCUGUUUUUUUUAUUCCAUGAGAUCGGUGCACCUCCUAGACACAAAUAUCCUUUUGGAUUGAAAAUCUAAAAAUGUAUAACUAUAUAUCCCUUUUAAUUUGGUCUAGAGAUUCUAAGAGUUCACAAGUCCUAGCUCUUUCAUCAAACUUCCCUCUUCCUUGACUCAAAGUAGAAGCAUUAUAUAGACAACCAAAGGUCUUGAGGGAAUGAAAAUCUGAUUUCCUCCAAAAUAGGAUCUGGUAAGGACUUUUCCCUUUGAGAACUAUGAAGGAUAGUCUAUUGAUCAAGUGAGUAGCAGCUGGAAUACAAUCUCCCUAAUAGAAAACUGAGACUUUAGACUGAAAAAAUAGACCUCUGACAAUUUUAAAAGGUGCAUGUGCUUUCUCUCUACCACCCUAUUCUGUUGAAGUGGGCAGUACAGCUUCUCUAAUGCAAAAUUCCAUGGCUGGUAAGCAAAGUUGCUUCUUGUGUUCCCCUACCAAUUCAAAAGAAGUCUGGUCUAAUACACUUUACUUUGAGAUCAAAUUGUGUUUCCACCAUUGAAAGAAAUUUUCAAAAUAGGAAAAGCAUUACAUUUGGUUGUCAACAAAAAUGUCCAUGUUCCUCUGCUAUACUCAUCAACUAUAGUGAGAAAAUACUUGUAUGUAAUUUCCCCAAAAGAAAUUAAAAUGUCAACUCUACACAGAAUAUUAUCAAGAAUUUUUUUCUUAGAGUUCAUCUCAUUACACGCAUAUACAAAGAGUUUGAUUCUUCCAGGAAUUUACUUUAGUAGUGUUAUUCCUUAGUUCGUCUAUCCAUCAACAUAUUGGCCCAAUUUUUUAUUUUUUAAAUUAAAAGGGCCUAAAAGGUUUUUUAUUACCAAUAUAUUUACAAGCCCAAUACUAUAUUUGAAAAGCCCAAACCGGUUUUGAAAAGAAACAAAAUACAAAAAUUAACAAAAAAAAACAAAAAGACAACUACUAAAAUCUGAAAAUAAUAGAAAGGGAGCUAGGAAGUCUCUAGAUAUUGUGGAUACUGUGCAUCGUCUUUUCUGAUAUGGCGACGCUGAGACUGCUCUGAUUGCCGACGGUGUGUGCGAAAUAACUACAGAUCUAUGAAAACAAUGCCAAAAUUGUUCGAAAGCUGAGUUAUGGUGGACUUCAUUUCGGACAUUUACCAACGUCUCACAAAUGCCAUGAAAUCGAGCCAUAGAAAGACUUAUUCAACUCUUCUUAGCACAAGACUGACUAAUUGAGUUGUUCGUACUUUGCCCUUCAAUUACCUAUCAUCUAUAGCAACCAAACCGACUAAGUCAUACCCUCGACAGAUUGAGCUCAACGGGGAACUGAUACCACUGCGUAAGAGUACUGAUUCAGUUGAUUCUACUAACUCCGGAGAAGAUGGGACAAUAACAACAUACCCAGUAUAUUAUAUGCAGAUGGGAUAUUAUAUGAAGAUGGGACAGAACUAGAAAAGAUUGUUAACAGAGGAACAUCGCAGAAGGUUGACACUUUCUCAAUGGCCCAAAAGCUGGCAAAGUGAAAAAGGUAUACCUGGCCGCCAAUUCAAACCUACUACUUUGUUUUCAUAAGAGGAAUUGAGACAUACUAGUAAAUCUAAAACCACCAUGGCUGAAGAAACCUGAAUUUGGGUAUUUAUAUGGAUAGCAGUCUGAGCUUGUAACUAAAUAGUGUAAAACAUGAUUCAUAUCAGUAGCGAAAAAGAAGUUGAUACAAGUCAAAUGACCAUCUUAAUUUUUGAAGACAUGAUUGGAGAUCAUCAUUUAAAGGCUCAAGACUUGGUCACCCCGAGGGCACAAGAAUAUGCAAAGAAGACCCCUUUUUGAGCACUAGCAAGGCCGUGUGUGGAAGAUUGCUUGGAGCAUUGAAGACUUGAGGACUCACGGUUUUGGACAACACUUAAUGGGUCAUGAUUUGGUCAUCUUCAUUAAGGGUAUUUUGGUCACUUCAUUGGGUUCAAAUGCACUCCAUGGCUACCCCACCCUUUAAGGGCAUUGUUGUCAUUUUGCCUUGUCUAGAAUAUAAAUAAAACAUUUUAGAUCUUUUUCUCAUUAGUUGUUCAUUGAUGUAAGACUUGAAACAUGAAACACCUUUAGUUGUAGGGCUUGGAAUAGCCACACACCGAAAUGAGGGCAACAAGUGUGGAUAUCAUUUGUGUUGCAAUGUUGGCUUGAGACGUUGGUGUUUAGAGGAGGUAAAGUUCCUCUUGUGUCAACGUAGGAGUUAGGUUAACCGUUGUGUGUAGUGUUAAAGGUUUAAGAUUAUCAUAUUCUUGGAUUCUUAAGAUUAUACCAAGGUCUAACUAUCUAUCCAUUUUGUGUAGGUUGUAAUCGUUUGUGUUUUUGUAAUUCAAAUCCGUGACUUGUUGUUUUGUAGCCGUGUGUUGCUGUUAUUACAUCUUGUUCAUCAAGUGUUGUUGCUGUUUUAGUGUGUUUUACUCUUGAUAUCA
Long non-coding RNA from Capsicum annuum, 4252 nucleotides. RefSeq lists it as uncharacterized. The record is from RefSeq and is a predicted model, not a curated record. The transcript has 2 exons. NCBI's taxonomy places the organism in Eukaryota, Viridiplantae, Streptophyta, Magnoliopsida, Solanales, Solanaceae.